RNAcentral lists this non-coding RNA (142 nucleotides) under Gorilla gorilla gorilla (western lowland gorilla). Lineage: Eukaryota; Metazoa; Chordata; Mammalia; Primates; Hominidae. The record is from Rfam by way of RNAcentral.
GCCGGGCGUGGUGGCGCGCGCCUGUAGUCCCAGCUACUUGGGAGGCUGAGGCAGAAGAAUCGCUUGAACCCCGGAGGGUGCAGUGAGCCAAGAUCGUGCCACUGCACUCCACCCUGGGCGACAGAGUGAGACUCUGUCUCAA